Molecule: ribosomal RNA, 253 nt
Filed under: uncultured bacterium
Lineage: Bacteria
Description: partial 16S ribosomal RNA
Rfam family: Bacterial small subunit ribosomal RNA
Source: RNAcentral
UACGGAGGAUGCAAGCGUUAUCCGGAAUGAUUGGGCGUAAAGCGUCCGCAGGUGGCAGUUCAAGUCUGCUGUCAAAGACCGGGGCUCAACCUCGGAAAGGCAGUGGAAACUGAACAGCUAGAGUAUGGUAGGGGCAAAGGGAAUUCCUGGUGUAGCGGUGAAAUGCGUAGAGAUCAGGAAGAACAUCGGUGGCGAAGGCGCUUUGCUGGACCAUAACUGACGCUCAGGGACGAAAGCUAGGGGAGCGAAUGGG